GAAAAAUGAAUCUUGUUAUGUUUAAAAAAAAAAUUAAGGGCCCCAAAGGGACAACACACAAAUACUCAGAAAACAAAUACAUCAAUUGUGAAAUUCAUAUUCUUACUGGCCUUCUUUAGUAUAGAUACAGGCAUUUCAAAACAAACUCUUCAAUCAAUCAUGAACAUUUUUUAAACAAAGCCAUCACAAUAUGUUUGAGAAGAAUGUACAGUACACAUCCACUUGUACAGUGUGUCCCAUGUCUUGUACAGUGUGUCCCCGGUCUUGUACAUGUGUCCCCUGUCUUGUACAGUGUGUCCCAUGUCUUGUACAGUGUGUCCCAGGUCUUGUACUGCGUGUCCCAUGUCUUGUACAGUGUG
Molecule: long non-coding RNA, 359 nt
Filed under: Salmo salar (Atlantic salmon)
Lineage: Eukaryota; Metazoa; Chordata; Actinopteri; Salmoniformes; Salmonidae
Description: lncRNA (ENSSSAG00000107136.1)
Source: RNAcentral